CGAGCUCGCCAGACAGUCGCCGCCGGUAUGACCGGGGGAGGAAAGUCCGGGCUCCGCAGGGCAAGGUGCCAGGUAACUCCUGGGCGGCGUGAGCCGACGGAAAGUGCAACAGAAAGCAGACCGCCUAAGUACCCGUGACCAGUUCGCGGGUGCCGGUAAGGGUGAAACGGUGCGGUAAGAGCGCACCGCGUGGCUGGCAACAGUCCACGGCGAUGGUAAACCCCACCUGGAGCAAGACCAAAUAGGAAUCCAAUGGCGUGGCCCGCGCUGGAUUCGGGUAGGUUGCUUGAGGCCUGUGGUGACGCAGGCCCUAGAUGAAUGACUGUCCACGACAGAACCCGGCUUAUCGGCGAGCUCGCCUU
Molecule: RNase P RNA, 362 nt
Filed under: Marinobacter sp. 2_MG-2023
Lineage: Bacteria; Pseudomonadati; Pseudomonadota; Gammaproteobacteria; Pseudomonadales; Marinobacteraceae
Description: RNase P RNA component class A
Rfam family: Bacterial RNase P class A
About the family: Ribonuclease P (RNase P) is a ubiquitous endoribonuclease, found in archaea, bacteria and eukarya as well as chloroplasts and mitochondria. Its best characterised activity is the generation of mature 5'-ends of tRNAs by cleaving the 5'-leader elements of precursor-tRNAs.
Source: RNAcentral